This 805-nucleotide long non-coding RNA is filed under the name Homo sapiens (human). Its description in RNAcentral is "HSALNT0300701". The record is from RNAcentral. Lineage: Eukaryota; Metazoa; Chordata; Mammalia; Primates; Hominidae.
CAGCAACGUAGAUGGGAGUGCCUGGUGCCUGGGACUAAGGUGAGCUGUAGGAAGGGACUAAAGGGGACAGAUGAGAAAGAAUAUGCAUGAGGGAGACGUAACAGGAGUUGGACAUGGCCAUAUGUAGCCCGGGGUAAGGGAAAAGUGAUAGAUAAUGCCCAGGCACUGGCUUGCAAAACUGGGACGGUAACAGUGCCUAUCAGCAAAAUGAAAGACAAAAAGAAAAGCAAAAGAAGUGCUCAGAGCUUGGUACAUCCUGGCCUUUCCAUGUCUGUGGAACUGCCACAAGGAUGUGUCUUCUAGGCAGUUAGAUGUUUGGGUCUAUAGUUCCAUUAGGGAGUUAUCAGAUAGACAUGGGAUGAAAGCCAAAGAAGCAGACAAGAUCACCUUCAAUAUGACUUUUCCAAAAGCCAGUCAAUGAGGAUGCAUUGAGAAGAGAACGUGGAAACAGAAGAAGUCCUGAAGAAAACCACUAUUGAAAGAAGUUAAAGGAAAUCAGUCCACAAAAUGUUGUAAGAUGAAUAGCCAGAGAGGUUGAAGGAAACCAGGAGAGUGAAUGUAGUACAAUGGAAGGAAAGGAAGAGCCUAGCUCAACAAGGAAGAAGUUGUCAUCUGUGCACAUGCUUCUCAGAAGUAAGAUAAGGAAGUUUCCUGAUGCCCACAAAGUUUAAAUAACGGACUCGAGGUUACCCAGCAAUAAAUGUUGAAAAAGAGUUUAAAUUAGUUGGCUUUCAGAGUUUGUGUUUUGGACAACUAUAUUCUACUUUGGACAGCACUGUAUUUUCUCAUUGUAAAAGCAGGCAGG